RNAcentral lists this ribosomal RNA (1352 nucleotides) under uncultured bacterium. RNAcentral's name for it is "bacterial SSU rRNA". It matches the Rfam family "Bacterial small subunit ribosomal RNA", at positions 28 to 1381 of the family's 1533-position model. The record is from RNAcentral.
AUUGAACGCUGGCGGCAUGCCUUACACAUGCAAGUCGAACGGCAGCACGGAGCUUGCUCUGGUGGCGAGUGGCGAACGGGUGAGUAAUAUAUCGGAACGUACCCUAGAGUGGGGGAUAACGUAGCGAAAGUUACGCUAAUACCGCAUACGAUCUAAGGAUGAAAGUGGGGGAUCGCAAGACCUCAUGCUCGUGGAGCGGCCGAUAUCUGAUUAGCUAGUUGGUAGGGUAAAAGCCUACCAAGGCAUCGAUCAGUAGCUGGUCUGAGAGGACGACCAGCCACACUGGAACUGAGACACGGUCCAGACUCCUACGGGAGGCAGCAGUGGGGAAUUUUGGACAAUGGGCGAAAGCCUGAUCCAGCAAUGCCGCGUGAGUGAAGAAGGCCUUCGGGUUGUAAAGCUCUUUUGUCAGGGAAGAAACGGUGGGAGCUAAUAUCUCUUGCUAAUGACGGUACCUGAAGAAUAAGCACCGGCUAACUACGUGCCAGCAGCCGCGGUAAUACGUAGGGUGCAAGCGUUAAUCGGAAUUACUGGGCGUAAAGCGUGCGCAGGCGGUUUUGUAAGUCUGAUGUGAAAUCCCCGGGCUCAACCUGGGAAUUGCAUUGGAGACUGCAAGGCUAGAAUCUGGCAGAGGGGGGUAGAAUUCCACGUGUAGCAGUGAAAUGCGUAGAUAUGUGGAGGAACACCGAUGGCGAAGGCAGCCCCCUGGGUCAAGAUUGACGCUCAUGCACGAAAGCGUGGGGAGCAAACAGGAUUAGAUACCCUGGUAGUCCACGCCCUAAACGAUGUCUACUAGUUGUCGGGUCUUAAUUGACUUGGUAACGCAGCUAACGCGUGAAGUAGACCGCCUGGGGAGUACGGUCGCAAGAUUAAAACUCAAAGGAAUUGACGGGGACCCGCACAAGCGGUGGAUGAUGUGGAUUAAUUCGAUGCAACGCGAAAAACCUUACCUACCCUUGACAUGGCUGGAAUCCUUGAGAGAUCAGGGAGUGCUCGAAAGAGAACCAGUACACAGGUGCUGCAUGGCUGUCGUCAGCUCGUGUCGUGAGAUGUUGGGUUAAGUCCCGCAACGAGCGCAACCCUUGUCAUUAGUUGCUACGAAAGGGCACUCUAAUGAGACUGCCGGUGACAAACCGGAGGAAGGUGGGGAUGACGUCAAGUCCUCAUGGCCCUUAUGGGUAGGGCUUCACACGUCAUACAAUGGUACAUACAGAGCGCCGCCAACCCGCGAGGGGGAGCUAAUCGCAGAAAGUGUAUCGUAGUCCGGAUUGUAGUCUGCAACUCGACUGCAUGAAGUUGGAAUCGCUAGUAAUCGCGGACCAGCAUGUCGCGGUGAAUACGUUCCCGGGUCU